AACGAACGCUGGCGGCAGGCCUAACACAUGCAAGUCGAACGCCCCAGCAAUAGGGAGUGGCAGACGGGUGAGUAACGCGUGGGAACCUUCCUUAUGGUGCGGAAUAACUCGCCGAAAGGCGUGCUAAUACCGCAUAAGCCCGCAAGGGGAAAGAUUCAUCGCCAUAAGAUGGGCCCGCGUAGGAUUAGCUAGUUGGUGAGGUAACGGCCCACCAAGGCUACGAUCCUUAGCUGGUUUGAGAGAAUGACCAGCCACACUGGGACUGAGACACGGCCCAGACUCCUACGGGAGGCAGCAGUGGGGAAUCUUGGACAAUGGGCGCAAGCCUGAUCCAGCCAUGCCGCGUGAGUGACGAAGGCCUU
RNAcentral lists this ribosomal RNA (362 nucleotides) under uncultured bacterium. RNAcentral's name for it is "bacterial SSU rRNA". It matches the Rfam family "Bacterial small subunit ribosomal RNA", at positions 29 to 418 of the family's 1533-position model. The record is from RNAcentral.